Molecule: ribosomal RNA, 763 nt
Filed under: uncultured Gammaproteobacteria bacterium
Lineage: Bacteria; Pseudomonadati; Pseudomonadota; Gammaproteobacteria
Description: bacterial SSU rRNA
Rfam family: Bacterial small subunit ribosomal RNA
Source: RNAcentral
AUUGAACGCUGGCGGUAUGCUUAACACAUGCAAGUCGAACGGUAGCCACUUCGGUGGUGAGAGUGGCGGACGGGUGAGUAACGCGUAGGAAUCUGCCCUGUAGUGGGGGACAACGUGGGGAAACCCACGCUAAUACCGCAUACGCCCUGAGGGGGAAAGCGGGGGACCUUCGGGCCUCGCGCUAUAGGAUGAGCCUGCGUUGGAUUAGCUAGUUGGUAGGGUAAAGGCCUACCAAGGCUGCGAUCCAUAGCUGGUCUGAGAGGACGACCAGCCACACUGGGACUGAGACACGGCCCAGACUCCUACGGGAGGCAGCAGUGGGGAAUAUUGGACAAUGGGCGCAAGCCUGAUCCAGCAAUACCGCGUGUGUGAAGAAGGCCUGAGGGUUGUAAAGCACUUUCAAUGGGGAGGAAAAAUGCAGUCUUAAUACGGCUGCCCUUGACAUUACCCAUACAAGAAGCACCGGCUAACUCCGUGCCAGCAGCCGCGGUAAUACAGAGGGUGCGAGCGUUAAUCGGAAUUACUGGGCGUAAAGCGUGCGUAGGCGGCCUGUUAAGUCAGAUGUGAAAGCCCUGGGCUCAACCUGGGAACGGCAUUUGAAACUGGCAGGCUAGAGUUAGGUAGAGGGGAGUGGAAUUUCAGGUGUAGCGGUGAAAUGCGUAGAUAUCUGAAGGAACACCAGUGGCGAAGGCGGCUCCCUGGACCCAAACUGACGCUGAGGUACGAAAGCGUGGGUAGCAAACAGGAUUAGAUACCCUGGUAG